GGGAGACUGACGCUGAGGCGCGAAGGUGCGGGUAGCGAACAGGAUUAGAUACCCUGGUAGUCCGCACAGUAAACGAUGCACGCUGGGCGUCCGGCGCAUGGCCGGGUGCCGAAGCGAACGCGGUAAGCGUGCCGCCUGGGGAGUAUGCCCGCAAGGGUGAAACUCAAAGGAAUUGACGGGGGCCCGCACAAGCGGUGGAGCAUGUGGUUUAAUUCGAUGGUACGCGAGGAACCUUACCCGGGUUUGACAUGCACGGUGAUGCCGCGGAGACGCGGCAGCCCAGCAAUGGGACCGUGUGCAGGUGCUGCAUGGCUGUCGUCAGCUCGUGUCGUGAGGUGUUUGGUUAAGUCCAGCAACGAGCGCAACCCCUGCUGCCUGUUGCCAGCGCGCAAUGGCGGGGACUCAGGCGGGACUGCCGGCGACAAGCCGGAGGAAGGCGGGGACGACGUCAAGUCAUCAUGGCCCUUAUGCCCGGGGCUACACACGUGCUACAAUGGCCGGCACAGAGCGUUGCGACGCGGUGACGCGGAGCGGACCGCUGAAAGCCGGCCCCAGUCCGGAUCGGAGUCUGAAACCCGACUCCGUGAGGUUGGAAUCGCUA
RNAcentral lists this ribosomal RNA (601 nucleotides) under uncultured bacterium. RNAcentral's name for it is "bacterial SSU rRNA". It matches the Rfam family "Bacterial small subunit ribosomal RNA", at positions 734 to 1337 of the family's 1533-position model. The record is from RNAcentral.